RNAcentral lists this long non-coding RNA (235 nucleotides) under Setaria italica (foxtail millet). RNAcentral describes it as "long non-coding RNA (SITA_LNC005207)". The record is from RNAcentral. Lineage: Eukaryota; Viridiplantae; Streptophyta; Magnoliopsida; Poales; Poaceae.
GGAGCGUCAUGUCAGCACAAAAGGACGAGUUUGAUAAUAAAAAGAAAGUUGAGAGACUAGUUUGAUCCAUUUGAAAGUUAACGAACGAACUUGACCCUUAAACUAAAAUUGAGGGACUAAAAUUGCUAUUUUGCCUAAUCCAAAGAUACCUAACUAUCGGACUACAGAACAUCCACAUCUCUAUUCAUUGCACUGACUGAUGUGGUCGCCGUCCUCUCUCCCUGCAACAUGCCAG